Molecule: long non-coding RNA, 505 nt
Filed under: Spirodela polyrhiza (greater duckweed)
Lineage: Eukaryota; Viridiplantae; Streptophyta; Magnoliopsida; Alismatales; Araceae
Description: long non-coding RNA (SPOL_LNC002199)
Source: RNAcentral
GGGGGAGUCUCCUCUCCUUGUCAUCUCCGGCAUAGCUUCGCCGGAACGCAUCGCCGGCAUCAAUGUCCUGACGGGAUGUCUCCGUCCCCGUUCCGGUCCUUGGAGGUGGCGAAGAGGCGAAAGGCGAGAAUCAUGCGGGAUGAGCGGGUUUGGAGGAGAGAAGAUACGCAAUUCGCGAAGCAAUGAUGGCGUCAAGGUCCCUGAUGGAGAGGUUGGCAUUAGAUCUACCUGUAUUUCUCGGCGGCCGUGGUUUGGGGAGAGCAGAAACACGGUGUGCAAGAGCUGGUGGCGGCGCAGAGGCCCUCGCAAGAGCGGAUAUCGUCAGAUCUCAGCCUAUUCCGCAUCUCUCAUUGCUACGUUGAUUUCCGCGAAAUCUUUUGUGCCGAUCUCUGCUACAGAUUCAACGCCCAAGGCAUUGCUAAAGAUGAGAGGAUGCCGACAGAUCCGCCUGUGGACUUGCCUGCUUCCAUGGUUGCUUCCUCUUCCGCUAGACCUCCGCCUCGUC